UGGGGAAUAUUGGACAAUGGGCGAAAGCCUGAUCCAGCAAUGCCGCGUGAGUGAUGAAGGCCUUAGGGUUGUAAAGCUCUUUUACCCGGGAAGAUAAUGACUGUACCGGGAGAAUAAGCCCCGGCUAACUCCGUGCCAGCAGCCGCGGUAAUACGGAGGGGGCUAGCGUUGUUCGGAAUUACUGGGCGUAAAGCGCACGUAGGCGGCUUUGUAAGUUAGAGGUGAAAGCCUGGGGCUCAACUCCAGAACUGCCUUUAAGACUGCAUCGCUUGAAUCAUGGAGAGGCGGGUGGAAUUCCGAGUGUAGAGGUGAAAUUCGUAGAUAUUCGGAAGAACACCAGUGGCGAAGGCGGCCCGCUGGACAUGUAUUGACGCUGAGGUGCGAAAGCGUGGGGAGCAAACA
This 402-nucleotide ribosomal RNA is filed under the name uncultured Sphingomonas sp. RNAcentral describes it as "bacterial SSU rRNA". It matches the Rfam family "Bacterial small subunit ribosomal RNA", at positions 355 to 774 of the family's 1533-position model. RNAcentral also lists the same sequence under 1 other name. Lineage: Bacteria; Pseudomonadati; Pseudomonadota; Alphaproteobacteria; Sphingomonadales; Sphingomonadaceae. The record is from RNAcentral.